This 253-nucleotide ribosomal RNA is filed under the name uncultured bacterium. Its description in RNAcentral is "partial 16S ribosomal RNA". It matches the Rfam family "Bacterial small subunit ribosomal RNA", at positions 524 to 776 of the family's 1533-position model. The record is from RNAcentral.
UACGAAGGGGGCUAGCGUUGCUCGGAAUCACUGGGCGUAAAGCGCACGUAGGCGGACUCUUAAGUCAGGGGUGAAAUCCUGGAGCUCAACUCCAGAACUGCCUUUGAUACUGGGAGUCUUGAUUUCGGGAGAGGUGAGUGGAACUGCGAGUGUAGAGGUGAAAUUCGUAGAUAUUCGCAAGAACACCAGUGGCGAAGGCGGCUCACUGGCCCGAUACUGACGCUGAGGUGCGAAAGCGUGGGGAGCAAACAGG